Molecule: long non-coding RNA, 6491 nt
Organism: Stegodyphus dumicola
Lineage: Eukaryota; Metazoa; Arthropoda; Arachnida; Araneae; Eresidae
Source: RefSeq, a predicted model, not a curated record
UGCAACAACUUGCGAUGUACCAACUGUGAUUUCAAGGUUUCCGUUUUCCGGGAUUUCGCUUGGGAUCCGAGUACUAGCUAUCUCUUCUUGCGGAACAAUAUGCCUAUAUUUGAGAAGCUGAGAUCCAAACUUCGUGUCAAGAAAGGAUGGUGCGCUUAUGGAUGCCAGUGCCAUGCCAUGUCAGUUAAUGUAUUAACUGAGUUGAAAAAAGCUUCUCAUGUGAAAUGGGUGUGUGGAGGUCACAGCGAUGUUUGACUUUGCUUCUGCACUACAUCUACUUCCCAGAAUUACACUGGAGGAGUAAAAUCGUUAACAGAGCAUAAUCAUCAUCAUUACAGAGAUCACACAAUUUCUUUUCUCCCUUAUGCAUGUUGCAUUUAAUUAAAAAAAAAAAGUUCUUCACCUCUGUACUAAUCCAAUAUAGCAAUAUUAAUUUUGUUCUUUAAUUUCAGUAAUUAUUACUUUUGAGAAAUAUGGGACGUAGUUAUGCUUUUUUAUGUGUGAGAGACUGUAACGAAAUUUAAGAAAUCAUACAUCUGGAAUAAAAGAGAAUUGAAUUAAGCCACAUUGUAGAAAAACAUUCAAAGGCGCUGCUUAAAAUUUAGAUGAAAUUAAAGCUGACUACAUUGACAUCAUUGCACAGUUAAUGAUGUGUUUUAGUAAAAGUAAGGUUUGAUUCAGACGUAAGUUUAUUUGCCUGAUGUUUAAAAGAAACCUGUAAGGUAUAACAAAAGAGUUGUUCUGUUUAGAAUGGAGUAAAAUUCGUUUAUUUACAUGCCAAUAAAUAUGACAGUAACAUUAUGAAUAAGCGCUACACUCAGAUAAUGCCCUUACUUGAAACGGCUUGUUUUAUGUAUAAAGAAAUAUAUCUCAGGUAUGUAUCUUAAAUAAAACUUGGAUAAAUUUUCAGCUAUUCCGUCCAAUUACCUCCCGAAAUAAGUAAAAAUGAGCCAAAUAUUUAUCGUGAUGUUUAAAAAUUAGCUUAUUGUCUAUAAAAAUAUAUUCAAGCCACAUGUGCAGGUUAUCUAGUCAAAUAACAAUCGUUUUUGAUAUCAAGUGCAUUAAAAAUUGCAUUAUAUAUAGAGGUAAUUAUACUAAAUAAUUGAGUCACACUACUAGUCAGAUGAAACGAAGUUUCACUUAAUAACGGGGCUAAAAGAUAUCAAACAAAAUGCGUAUUAAAAUCAAUUGAUCUCAUGGAAAUAAUGAAUCCCCUCUCAUGUAAGUAAUGAAAUGAGAUUAAAAGAUAUCUAAUACUAAUGUAUAACUGUAUAAUACUGAAUUAUAGAAAUCAUAGGGGAUAUACAGGUAGAUCAAAUGUUGUUGAGGACUGCCACAUCACUACUUCCCUCCGGAAAAUUUCAAAUUUAGUUUUUCAGUUCCGAUUUAUUUAGUAAAUAUUCAGUUAUAACCAAACUUUAUCAUAGUAAAGAUGUUUCAAAUGAAACAAUUAUAAGUUUUAGCCAUCAAAAAAAUUAGGAGGUCUAACAUAUUUGAAAACAAAGAGUGAUUAUAAACGAUAGCAACUAGAAAUCGUCAAUAAUUUUCAUGACGUAAAUUUAAAGGAAAUCUGAAAUAGUUCCAAGUAUAAGUAUUUUAGAAGAAAAAGUUAUAAAAGAACAAUACCAUUUUUAAAGAUAUAUUCAGACGUAACUCGAAAUAUCUUAAAUUUCAAUUUUAACGUUUAUAGCUUUGCUCAUAAUAGUACAAAGGUGAGUAUUUUAAUGCGGCAAAGCACGCAUUAUAGCAUUUUGUUAAAAGCCGUUUCUUUAACCAGCCUUUCCCCCCUGUUUAGUUAGUCAUAAGUUUACCUAAAAUAGAACUCUGCACAAAAUAUCAACUAUAAUGAUAAUUUAAAACUUUUAUAACUAAAUGAAAAUUCGAAUAGCUAAGAUAAAAAAAAUUGUAAAUCAAAACUCUAAUUUAAAUUUGCAAUAAUCCUUUAACUUAAUUUGGAUAUUUUCCCUGUCCAUGGAUUAACACUGGAUGAUGCAAUUAAUUCAGAACGGAGAGUCAAAAAUGUUUUUCCUCCUCAGACAAGCAUAAUCUUGGAUUACGUCACUUUUCUCUUCUACUCCUCUUCCUAGCUUUUUGCAAAUGAAGAGAGUUUACACUCUCUUCAAAAUUAUAGUAUUUUAAAAUGAAGCAAUCCCGAUUCAGUUCUUAAAGUUAUUUUGUUGGCUUACAAAUGCAUGUCAACGAGAAAUAAAAAGCAAUAUUCUGACACGACUACUUCUUAUUAAGUCUACAUGACUCCAAAUAUUUCUGUUCUUCAACAUCUGCGUCAUCAACGAUCUUCCAGUUUAUUACUGAGUCGAGAGGAUUUGACGAGCUGAAUGAAACAUUAUGUAGAGAUUGCGUUGAAAAGUUUUGAAUUUUAAAUUGGAAUAAACACUGUUCUUUUAAUUUUGUAGAUGAUCUGUAUUCAUGAAAGGUAACAUUUUAUAAAUUAACUGUAUACGAGACCGAUUAAGUAUUAUUGGUACACACCCAUUUUCGCGAACAAAAGUCAUCUUUCUUCUCCUUAUAUGGGUAUAUGCAAAACAUAACGUAAUCAAUUACCCUAGGAUUUUCCAAAAUUGUCAACAGCUGCAGCUGUUUUAAAACUGUAUGUUUAUAGAUAUAAUAUACUUCUGUUUGUCUGAUCAUAAAAGGGCGAUCUAUUCUAAAACCUCUUGAAUAUUUGAAAUUUAUAUUUUAUUCUCUUACUAUUGCUUUUGUUACCAUUAUAAGAUGAUUUACUGUCGUAAAGUGAGCUAGCCAUCCUUUGCUUCUACUUUGAAAUCCCUGCCUCAACUAUUUUCUUAUGUUUCAGAUGAAAGAUCAAUAAAUUCAGAAUCACUUUGCAUAAAGUGUUGAUAAAAAGAGAAUCAGUUCAAAUAGAAGUUCCAUAAAACAGAACUCUCACAAAAAUCAUAAGAACAUAAUCGCUUUAUUUAAAAGACUGGUAAAAACAGAAUUGCUUUCUUAAGAUUAAAUAUAAGCAAAAAUAGAUAUUCAGAAGCAGAAAAUCUGAAGCCCAGAUGAACACAGCUCAUAGUAAAUUAGCUUUAAUUAGUGGCAACUUACUGGUAAGAAUCACCUUAAUUUCAGACAGGGCAUUAAUUAAAGUUUACUAGAAAAAAUCACCUUAAUUCCUGAGCUCCAGUUUUUGACAUUAAUCAAAGCUUACUGAAAGGAAUCACUUUAAUUCCUGAGAGCCAAUUCUUGGCAUUAGAAAGCUUACUGAAAAGAAUCACUUUAAUUCCUGACAGCCAAUUUUUGGUAUUAAUCUAAGCUUACUCGAAAGAAUCAAAUUAAUUCCUGACGGCUAAUCCUUGACAUUAAUCAAAGCUUACUGGAGAGAAUCACCUUAAUUCCUGAGAACCAAUUCUUGGUAUUAAUCUAAGUUUACUGGAAAGGAUCACAUUAAGUCCUGACAGCUAAUCCUUGGCAUUAAUCAAAGCUUACUAGAAAGAAUCUUAUUAAUUCCUGACAGCUAAUUCUUGGUAUUAAGCAAAGUUUACUGGAAAGAAUCACCUUAAUUCCGAACAGCUAAUCCUUCCUUUACAACUGCAUAUUAUUUUUUCCUAGAAACCAGAAGAGUAGAGAUCACCCAGAUAAUCAUUACAUAUUCAAAUGCGAACCUAACUGCUUUUUUCUUGUAAAGCCAUUUAUAUUUUCUGAUUUAUUUAUUUAUUAGCAUAUUACUGUACGAAAUACUUAUUGCAUGAGUUGAGAGAAGGGAUUGAAAAUGUGAACUUAAGAAGUAGUUUUAAACUAGAAGAACUAAAAGUAGUUUGAAAAACUAAAUAAAUCUUAUAUGAUCUUAUAAUUUUAUAUUCGUAGAACAUUAUGAGCUGGGCUUAAACUUUUUGCUAAGCGAAUCACCUUAUUUUAUCAAUUCAGUUGCCUUUUAUAGGAGAAAAAUUUAGCUUUUGCAAACUUUAGCUAAUUUUUACGCUUGUAGAAUUUAAUAUGUCAUUAAAAAUGCCAUGUACACGAUAUGCACUAUACUCUUUUACGUUGUUUGUUUAAAAAGCCUAGAAUCGUAGGUGUUUAAUAAAGUAAGUCGUAUGUUCUCCAAAUACUGUUAUACGAAAAUGUGGAAGUCCUAGAUGACACUGAUUAUAACGAUAUUCAAGGAAUCUGCAAGCUAAAGCAGAAUGAUUUUCUAAAGCAUAUUUAAUUUUUAUGUUAAUGAAGUAAUCAAAUAAGAAGUAAAUAAUUUAGAAGAAUAGAACUGAACAGGAAACAAGGUAAAAAUGAUUAAAUUUUAAAACACAGUAUUGGUUUUAAUUAGUUAGCUAAAACAAGAGGUGUGGAAUUUUCUAAUUUAAAAAUCAAAUUAGUAUAUAAUUAUUAAUCCUUUAAAUUAUUACUGAGUAAGGAAAAAUUGGUAUUAUAAAGAAGAAAUAGAAAAAAUUUAUGCCGGCUUGGAAAUAAAUGAAAAUGAAAACUACAUCUGUAUUAAUAAUAUUUUGACGUAGCUGCUGCCUCUUGUGCUCUUUUGUAUUGAUUGUAAUCGUAAAAUCAUAAAAUAAAAAUUAGUACCAGCUAAAACAUUAUUUUAGCUAUUUAGAAUUGUUUAAAUUUUUUUUCCGUUUCACUGAAGUAUAUAUUCUUUUUGAAUAUUAUUGAUAAAAUUAAGAAUUUAUCUAAUUUAAUCAAAUAAGUAAGUUCGAACACGAAAUGUUUAAAAGCAUUCAAUUUUCUUUAGAAAAUUAAAAAAUUAUAUUCCGUUUUGAUUGUUUUUAAAUCUUUAUAUAGAUAAAAAUUUUAAGAUAUUGCUUGCUUAUUAAAUUAAAAAUAUAAUUAUUUAUUUUAUUUAAAUAAUAAAAUAUGUAUUUAAUUAAAUGUAUUACUGUUCGUGCAUUUUUGCUGUCUUACACAGUUGUUAUAUUCAUUCAGUUAUGAGACUGUCUAAAAAUUAUUAUGAUUAAACAAUGUAGUAAAAUAAUUAAUAUUAAUUAACAAAAUAAUAAACUAUUUUCUUCUAAUUUGUAAACUUCUCCAAAGAGGAAAAUAUUAAAAAACGAAGCGAAAUCCUGAAAUGCAUUGCAACAGUAAGGUACAUUUUUGAUAUUUUUAUUUCUUAAUUUGUUUUGCUUCAGACACAGCAUAGUAUGUAUGCAAUAUACUGUACAAGUCACUCUACAAAACAUUAGCUGCAGAAAUGCUUGUACCAUGUUAAAAGUUAUUAUAGUUCUUAGCUUAUGGAAAGAAAUUUGUAUUUGCUAAUAAUAUGUAUUUCUACAAAUGCAUGGCUAUGUUCAUUGCGUAUUUACAGUAUAUCGUGCCUUUAAUACAGUGGUGUCAAACUCGCCACAUGCAUGUUCUUGAAACAAUUAAGAUAGGCCAGAUUUCUUUAUUUCAAAAUUAAAAAAUUAUAUUAACAAAAUGAAAAAUAUUUUUAAUAAAUUUUAAGUUUCGCAUACUAAGUAUUUAUCAAAACGUGACAUAAACAACAAUAAUAUCAUAAAGGAAAACAACUCUAAUUUCUGUUAAUUUUCUAUCUGAAAUUUAAAUUUUUGGUACUUGCAAAAUGACAGCUAAAUAUUAAAUUCCUAAACUGAUAUUCCCGUCAAAUAAUUCUAUAUAACAUGUUUAAUUAAUCAUAAAAUAAUUUACUUAAAUUUAAACUAAAAGUAAGCCACUUUUGAAGUUUUCAGAGAAGCAUUUCCAUGUGAUACCAAACCUGAGAAUUAAUAAUGAUAACCUUAUAAGGUAUUUCUCCCUCUUUCCUAGCGUGUCUUCGUGGUGUAGUGGUUCUGCACGCUGGACCGGUAUCCAGAGGUCCGUGGUUCGAGUCCCGGCGAAGGCGUUUGCUAAUUUUUCAUCUUUCCUGCUUCUCAAAACUAACCUAAUGUCUCUACAACCUAAUUUCUUUCUCUUAUGUAUUAUUCUUUCGGCGGAUAAAAAGAAAAUACUUAUAUUUGUAUACAAGUUUAUUAUAAACUCUUUUUUUCUUACUACAGCUUGAUGCAUGCUUGAUGCUUGAUGGUACUAGAUUUUGAUAAAGUCUGUAGUUUUGGAGAAAAAUUACUGUAAGUUAUCUUCAUUACGGAUUGUAGUAUUUGCUCAGCCUUUAAUUGAGUUCUUACCAAUUUUCAACUGUGAGUAUUCCCAAACAAAAUGUACAUUCUUAGUGCAAAUGUUCCUAACUUACUUUUUGAUAACUAUGAAUAAAAUUUAAUGAAAUUUGUAUCUUGAAAUCUGUGAAUAAGAUUUAUAUCAUAUUGUAAAUCAAUUAACUACAUUUAUAUAUUUCCUAUACGUUCAUUUUUGAUGGAAAUGAAAAUAAUAUAAACUCGAAUGACCAAAUAGAAUAACUAAACGGAAAUGAAAAAUAAUAUUAACUCAAAUAACUAAAAUCUUGAAAUCUUUGCCGCCAGUUUGACACCCCUGCUAUAAGCCUGUCUAGUCAAGUCAUAUUGGCUGUGAUAGUAUUAUGUGAUUUGUAUUUUUCAAUGUUAUGUAUUAACUAAUAAAUAGAAAAGGGAUUAUUAAAA